RNAcentral lists this ribosomal RNA (467 nucleotides) under uncultured bacterium. RNAcentral describes it as "partial 16S ribosomal RNA". It matches the Rfam family "Bacterial small subunit ribosomal RNA", at positions 28 to 507 of the family's 1533-position model. The record is from RNAcentral.
GACGAACGCUGGCGGCGUGCUUAACACAUGCAAGUCGAACGGAAAGGCCUCUUUCGGGGGGUACUCGAGUGGCGAACGGGUGAGUAACACGUGAGUAACCUGCCCUUGACUUUGGGAUAACUUCAGGAAACUGGGGCUAAUACCGGAUAGGAGCUCCUGCUGCAUGGUGGGGGUUGGAAAGUUUCGGCGGUUGGGGAUGGACUCGCGGCUUAUCAGCUUGUUGGUGGGGUAGUGGCUUACCAAGGCUUUGACGGGUAGCCGGCCUGAGAGGGUGGCCGGCCACAUUGGGACUGAGAUACGGCCCAGACUCCUACGGGAGGCAGCAGGGGGGAAUAUUGCACAAUGGGUGGAAGCCUGAUGCAGCAACGCCGUGUGCGGGAUGACGGCCUUCGGGUUGUAAACCGCUUUCGCUCAUGACGAAGCUUUGUGUGACGGUAGUGGGUAAAGAAGCACCGGCUAACUACGUG